This is a long non-coding RNA of Rhipicephalus sanguineus (brown dog tick), 1333 nucleotides long. RefSeq lists it as uncharacterized. The transcript has 5 exons. The record is from RefSeq and is a predicted model, not a curated record. Lineage: Eukaryota; Metazoa; Arthropoda; Arachnida; Ixodida; Ixodidae.
AUGUCCUGACGACGUCCAACAAGGAGAGGAGCCGAGAAAACCGGGGCAGAUCCCCUCAGAGCCGUAAAGGCAAGCAACAAAGGUCGCACUUCUCACAUUCCACACAGAGCUCUAGACCUACAAGACCUCACAAGGUGUCAUCUUCUGUGAAGCAAGCCUCAAAGGGAUCAUCAGAGGCAAACCACCAUGCUGAGAAAUCGAGUGGCAGUGCAGCUGCGACGGGCCGGCAGACGGCGCCUCGGUCAACUUCUGAAAAGGGAGCAGCUUCAUCUUCUUCAACGCAGCAGGGGUCCACUACGAUGUCACGCCCUUCACGCAAGUUUGAAGAGCACCCGCCAUCGUCUCGGGGUUCCACAGAAGCUGCAGCUGAAGAGGUGGCCUCUGCAGUUCUUCGCUCCAGGCUUCCGCUGGCACAGCUGCUUGAUCCAACAGAACCACUUCCACCAGCGUAGAGCCAGAUGAGAUAUCAUCUGGCCUGAACACUGCCAGUUCCUUGCCCCUGUCACAGGUGAAGUGGAGCAGUGUGGGUUCUUCAAGCACAUCUGGUGUGACGCCAGUGCCACCAUCCACCAGCAGCCGAUGGCAGAGUGCUCCCUCCACCUCAAAGUCCACCGAACCGAAGCAGUCAGACCGGUCAUCACAAUCUCAACAGUCAUCGUCAGCUUCAAAACCAUCUACAUCCACUAAAGACCCAGAGAAAGCGGGACUCGCAGACAAGAGCCUACUGGUAGCCAAGUCCUCCUCAGCAACCACUAAGCCGAACGCACAAGCCAGGCGAAAGAAGCCGCUAGUAAAGCCGAGCAACCAUUGAACAAGCCAGCAGCCACAGCGACAAAGGCGGCAGUGGCAUCAACGAGCAAUUCCCGGUCUGCCACCAAGACAACACGAGAAGUAUCGCGGCGAGGGAAAGACGAAUCGCUAUCGUCGCGUUCUCGAUCGCGAAGCCGCAAGCGAGGUCGGAACAGAUCGUCGUCACAGCGCCGACGCCGGCGGUCGUCAUCUUCGUCGUCAACAUCGUCUUCGUCAUCUGACGACGGUGGCAGCAGUGGCAGACGGCGAACCAAGGGGGGCCGAAGUAGGCGGCGCAGCAAGAGUGCCUCGUCCUCGGACGGUUCACGUGGUGGGGGAAGUUCACGCAGAGGCCGGAGGCGCCGCAGGCGAUCGUCCAGCUCCAGUUCGAGGUCGUCGAGCUCAAGUUCGAGCUCCAGCAGCGAUGGCCGUGGCAGUAGCCGCAGAGGACACCGAAAGAGGUCACCGGGUCGUCGCAAGAGCAGGCGCCGUAGGUCAAGCUCUAGUGGGUCAAGCAGCAGUGACUAAAGCUGACAUCACAGUC